CCUACGGGAGGCAGCAGUGAGGAAUAUUGGUCAAUGGACGAGAGUCUGAACCAGCCAAGUAGCGUGAAGGAUGACUGCCCUAUGGGUUGUAAACUUCUUUUAUAAAGGAAUAAAACGAGGCACGUGUGCCUUUUUGCAUGUACUUUAUGAAUAAGGAUCGGCUAACUCCGUGCCAGCAGCCGCGGUAAUACGGAGGAUCCGAGCGUUAUCCGGAUUUAUUGGGUUUAAAGGGAGCGUAGAUGGGUUGUUAAGUCAGUUGUGAAAGUUUGCGGCUCAACCGUAAAAUUGCAAUUGAUACUGGCAGCCAUGAGUACAGUUGAGGUAGGCGGAAUUCGUGGUGUAGCGGUGAAAUGCUUAGAUAUCACGAAGAACUCCGAUUGCGAAGGCAGCUUACUAAACUGCCACUGACAUUGAUGCUCGAAAGUGUGGGUAUCAAACAGGAUUAGAUACCCCUGUAGUC
Molecule: ribosomal RNA, 460 nt
Filed under: uncultured bacterium
Lineage: Bacteria
Description: partial 16S ribosomal RNA
Rfam family: Bacterial small subunit ribosomal RNA
Source: RNAcentral